CUGGUGUCAGCCGCCGCGGUAAUACCAUCACCUCGAGUGGAUCAUGACGUUUAUUGGGCCUAAAGCAUCCGUACCCGGCUCUGCGAAGUCUUCGAUUAAAUCCACCUGCUCAACAGAUGGGCUGCUGGAGAUACUACAGAGCUAGGGAGUGGGAGAGGCACACGGUAUUCAAUGGGUAGGGGUAAAAUCCUCUGAUCCAUUGAGGACCACCAGUGGAUAAGGCGAUCUGCCACAACACGUUCGACGGUGAGGGAUGAAAGCUGGGGGAGCAAACCGGAUUAUAUACCCGGGUAGUCCCAGCUGUAAACGAUACAAACUCGGUGAUGCAUUGACUUAUGGCCAAUGCAGUGCCGCAGGGAAGCCGUUAAGUUUGCCGCCUGGGAAGUACGGACGCAAGUCUGAAACUUAAAG
This 411-nucleotide ribosomal RNA is filed under the name uncultured Nitrososphaerota archaeon. RNAcentral's name for it is "bacterial SSU rRNA". It matches the Rfam family "Archaeal small subunit ribosomal RNA", at positions 452 to 861 of the family's 1478-position model. The record is from RNAcentral. Lineage: Archaea; Thermoproteati; Nitrososphaerota.